RNAcentral lists this ribosomal RNA (1372 nucleotides) under uncultured bacterium. Its description in RNAcentral is "bacterial SSU rRNA". It matches the Rfam family "Bacterial small subunit ribosomal RNA", at positions 28 to 1381 of the family's 1533-position model. The record is from RNAcentral.
GAUGAACGCUGGCGGCGUGCCUAAUACAUGCAAGUCGAGCGAACGGACGAGAAGCUUGCUUUUCUGAUGUUAGCGGCGGACGGGUGAGUAACACGUGGAUAACCUACCUAUAAGACUGGGAUAACUUCGGGAAACCGGAGCUAAUACCGGAUAAUAUUUUGAACCGCAUGGUUCAAAAGUGAAAGACGGUCUUGCUGUCACUUAUAGAUGGAUCCGCGCUGCAUUAGCUAGUUGGUAAGGUAACGGCUUACCAAGGCAACGAUGCAUAGCCGACCUGAGAGGGUGAUCGGCCACACUGGAACUGAGACACGGUCCAGACUCCUACGGGAGGCAGCAGUAGGGAAUCUUCCGCAAUGGGCGAAAGCCUGACGGAGCAACGCCGCGUGAGUGAUGAAGGUCUUCGGAUCGUAAAACUCUGUUAUUAGGGAAGAACAUAUGUGUAAGUAACUGUGCACAUCUUGACGGUACCUAAUCAGAAAGCCACGGCUAACUACGUGCCAGCAGCCGCGGUAAUACGUAGGUGGCAAGCGUUAUCCGGAAUUAUUGGGCGUAAAGCGCGCGUAGGCGGUUUUUUAAGUCUGAUGUGAAAGCCCACGGCUCAACCGUGGAGGGUCAUUGGAAACUGGAAAACUUGAGUGCAGAAGAGGAAAGUGGAAUUCCAUGUGUAGCGGUGAAAUGCGCAGAGAUAUGGAGGAACACCAGUGGCGAAGGCGACUUUCUGGUCUGUAACUGACGCUGAUGUGCGAAAGCGUGGGGAUCAAACGGGAUUAGAUACCCUGGUAGUCCACGCCGUAAACGAUGAGUGCUAAGUGUUAGGGGGUUUCCGCCCCUUAGUGCUGCAGCUAACGCAUUAAGCACUCCGCCUGGGGAGUACGACCGCAAGGUUGAAACUCAAAGGAAUUGACGGGGACCCGCACAAGCGGUGGAGCAUGUGGUUUAAUUCGAAGCAACGCGAAGAACCUUACCAAAUCUUGACAUCCUUUGACAACUCUAGAGAUAGAGCCUUCCCCUUCGGGGGACAAAGUGACAGGUGGUGCAUGGUUGUCGUCAGCUCGUGUCGUGAGAUGUUGGGUUAAGUCCCGCAACGAGCGCAACCCUUAAGCUUAGUUGCCAUCAUUAAGUUGGGCACUCUAAGUUGACUGCCGGUGACAAACCGGAGGAAGGUGGGGAUGACGUCAAAUCAUCAUGCCCCUUAUGAUUUGGGCUACACACGUGCUACAAUGGACAAUACAAAGGGCAGCGAAACCGCGAGGUCAAGCAAAUCCCAUAAAGUUGUUCUCAGUUCGGAUUGUAGUCUGCAACUCGACUACAUGAAGCUGGAAUCGCUAGUAAUCGUAGAUCAGCAUGCUACGGUGAAUACGUUCCCGGGUCU